Trifolium pratense (red clover) is the source of this 444-nucleotide long non-coding RNA. RefSeq lists it as uncharacterized. The transcript has 3 exons. The record is from RefSeq and is a predicted model, not a curated record. Lineage: Eukaryota; Viridiplantae; Streptophyta; Magnoliopsida; Fabales; Fabaceae.
AAUGUGUAACUAUCAAUCAAUCUUUGAAAAUAGACAAGGAAAAAGUUAGUCAUAACAAUUUACAUGAGAAGCCACUACGUGAUCCUCAAGAGAAAAAAACAAAAGGUGCUCCAAGAAGAAUUAAGAGUGGAAUAGAGAAAGGUCGUAAAAGAACAUCUAAUGAUAAAAAAAAGAAGUGAUUUGAAGUCUGUCAUUGUUUAAAGUGAAAUAAUAUCUCACAUGAUGAAAUCAAAGUUGCAUCAACAACGAUGGCAAAUCAAGAGUGUUCGAGGAGUUAAUAAAGUUGUUAUAGAGAUUUGUUUUGUAGGAUUUUUUAUUGGAUUUUUGUGCAAACUAGAUGAUUUUACUGCAUUUGGUAGUGUUGAUUUUAUAAUUCAGCUAGAUCUCUUCACAGACCAUAUAUUGUUACUUAUAUAUACUUCUUAAUUUAUAUUCAAAUAUUGU